GCGAAAAGAACCCCGGCGAGGGGAGUGAAAAAGAACCUGAAACCGUGUACGUACAAGCAGUGGGAGCACAGAGCAAUCUGUGUGACUGCGUACCUUUUGUAUAAUGGGUCAGCGACUUAUAUUCUGUAGCAAGGUUAACCGAAUAGGGGAGCCGAAGGGAAACCGAGUCUUAACUGGGCGUUAAGUUGCAGGGUAUAGACCCGAAACCCGGUGAUCUAGCCAUGGGCAGGUUGAAGGUUGGGUAACACUAACUGGAGGACCGAACCGACUAAUGUUGAAAAAUUAGCGGAUGACUUGUGGCUGGGGGUGAAAGGCCAAUCAAACCGGGAGAUAGCUGGUUCUCCCCGAAAGCUAUUUAGGUAGCGCCUCGUGAAUUCAUCUCCGGGGGUAGAGCACUGUUUCGGCAAGGGGGUCAUCCCGACUUACCAACCCGAUGCAAACUGCGAAUACCGGAGAAUGUUAUCACGGGAGACACACGGCGGGUGCUAACGUCCGUCGUGAAGAGGGAAACAACCCAGACCGCCAGCUAAGGUCCCAAAGUCAUGGUUAAGUGGGAAACGAUGUGGGAAGGCCCAGACAGCCAGGAUGUUGGCUUAGAAGCAGCCAUCAUUUAAAGAAAGCGUAAUAGCUCACUGGUCGAGUCGGCCUGCGCGGAAGAUGUAACGGGGCUAAACCAUGCACCGAAGCUGCGGCAGCGACGCUGAUGCGUUGUUGGGUAGGGGAGCGUUCUGUAAGCCUGUGAAGGUGUGCUGUGAGGCAUGCUGGAGGUAUCAGAAGUGCGAAUGCUGACAUAAGUAACGAUAAAGCGGGUGAAAAGCCCGCUCGCCGGAAGACCAAGGGUUCCUGUCCAACGUUAAUCGGGGCAGGGUGAGUCGACCCCUAAGGCGAGGCCGAAAGGCGUAGUCGAUGGGAAACAGGUUAAUAUUCCUGUACUUGGUGUUACUGCGAAGGGGGGACGGAGAAGGCUAUGUUGGCCGGGCGACGGUUGUCCCGGUUUAAGCGUGUAGGCUGGUUUUCCAGGCAAAUCCGGAAAACUAAGGCUGAGGCGUGAUGACGAGGCACUACGGUGCUGAAGCAACAAAUGCCCUGCUUCCAGGAAAAGCCUCUAAGCAUCAGGUAACAUCAAAUCGUACCCCAAACCGACACAGGUGGUCAGGUAGAGAAUACCAAGGCGCUUGAGAGAACUCGGGUGAAGGAACUAGGCAAAAUGGUGCCGUAACUUCGGGAGAAGGCACGCUGAUAUGUAGGUGAAGUCCCUCGCGGAUGGAGCUGAAAUCAGUCGAAGAUACCAGCUGGCUGCAACUGUUUAUUAAAAACACAGCACUGUGCAAACACGAAAGUGGACGUAUACGGUGUGACGCCUGCCCGGUGCCGGAAGGUUAAUUGAUGGGGUCAGCGCAAGCGAAGCUCUUGAUCGAAGCCCCGGUAAACGGCGGCCGUAACUAUAACGGUCCUAAGGUAGCGAAAUUCCUUGUCGGGUAAGUUCCGACCUGCACGAAUGGCGUAAUGAUGGCCAGGCUGUCUCCACCCGAGACUCAGUGAAAUUGAACUCGCUGUGAAGAUGCAGUGUACCCGCGGCAAGACGGAAAGACCCCGUGAACCUUUACUAUAGCUUGACACUGAACAUUGAGCCUUGAUGUGUAGGAUAGGUGGGAGGCUUUGAAGUGUGGACGCCAGUCUGCAUGGAGCCGACCUUGAAAUACCACCCUUUAAUGUUUGAUGUUCUAACGUUGACCCGUAAUCCGGGUUGCGGACAGUGUCUGGUGGGUAGUUUGACUGGGGCGGUCUCCUCCUAAAGAGUAACGGAGGAGCACGAAGGUUGGCUAAUCCUGGUCGGACAUCAGGAGGUUAGUGCAAUGGCAUAAGCCAGCUUGACUGCGAGCGUGACGGCGCGAGCAGGUGCGAAAGCAGGUCAUAGUGAUCCGGUGGUUCUGAAUGGAAGGGCCAUCGCUCAACGGAUAAAAGGUACUCCGGGGAUAACAGGCUGAUACCGCCCAAGAGUUCAUAUCGACGGCGGUGUUUGGCACCUCGAUGUCGGCUCAUCACAUCCUGGGGCUGAAGUAGGUCCCAAGGGUAUGGCUGUUCGCCAUUUAAAGUGGUACGCGAGCUGGGUUUAGAACGUCGUGAGACAGUUCGGUCCCUAUCUGCCGUGGGCGCUGGAGAACUGAGGGGGGCUGCUCCUAGUACGAGAGGACCGGAGUGGACGCAUCACUGGUGUUCGGGUUGUCAUGCCAAUGGCACUGCCCGGUAG
RNAcentral lists this ribosomal RNA (2251 nucleotides) under Escherichia coli. Its description in RNAcentral is "partial 23S ribosomal RNA". It matches the Rfam family "Bacterial large subunit ribosomal RNA", at positions 514 to 2748 of the family's 2925-position model. The record is from RNAcentral. Lineage: Bacteria; Pseudomonadati; Pseudomonadota; Gammaproteobacteria; Enterobacterales; Enterobacteriaceae.